This 84-nucleotide transfer RNA is filed under the name bacterium. RNAcentral describes it as "tRNA-Leu". It matches the Rfam family "tRNA". Rfam says of the family: Transfer RNA (tRNA) molecules are approximately 80 nucleotides in length. The record is from RNAcentral.
GGGCGAGUGGCGGAAUUGGCAGACGCACGGGACUCAAAAUCCCGCGAUGGCAACAUCAUGAGGGUUCGACCCCCUCCUCGCCCA